This 492-nucleotide ribosomal RNA is filed under the name uncultured bacterium. RNAcentral describes it as "partial 16S ribosomal RNA". It matches the Rfam family "Bacterial small subunit ribosomal RNA", at positions 29 to 507 of the family's 1533-position model. The record is from RNAcentral.
AGUGAACGCUGGCGGUAUGCCUAACACAUGCAAGUCGAACGGCAGCACAGUAACAGCUUGCUCUUACGGGUGGCGAGUGGCGGACGGGUGAGGAAGACACCGGAAUCUACUUUUUCGUGGGGGCUAACGUAGGGAAAUUUACGCUAAUACCGCAUACGACCUACGGGUGAAAGCAGGGGAUCUUUGGACCUUGCGCGAUUGAAUGAGCCGAUGUCGGAUUAGCUAGUUGGCGGGGUAAAGGCCGACCAAGGCGACGAUCCGUAGCUGGUCUGAGAGGAUGAUCAGCCACACUGGAACUGAGACACGGUCCGGACUCCUACGGGAGGCAGCAGUGGGGAAUAUUGGACAAUGGGCGAAAGCCUGAUCCAGCAAUACCGCGUGGGUGAAGAAGGCCUUCGGGUUGUAAAGCCCUUUUGUCGGGAAAGAAAAGCAGCAGGUUAAUACGGCGCUGUUAUGACGGUACCCAAAGAAUAAGCACCGGCUAACUUCGUG